Molecule: transfer RNA, 85 nt
Filed under: Crocinitomicaceae bacterium
Lineage: Bacteria; Pseudomonadati; Bacteroidota; Flavobacteriia; Flavobacteriales; Crocinitomicaceae
Description: tRNA-Ser
Rfam family: tRNA
About the family: Transfer RNA (tRNA) molecules are approximately 80 nucleotides in length. Their secondary structure includes four short double-helical elements and three loops (D, anti-codon, and T loops). Further hydrogen bonds mediate the characteristic L-shaped molecular structure. tRNAs have two regions of fundamental functional importance: the anti-codon, which is responsible for specific mRNA codon recognition, and the 3' end, to which the tRNAs corresponding amino acid is attached (by aminoacyl-tRNA synthetases). tRNAs cope with the degeneracy of the genetic code in two manners: having more than one tRNA (with a specific anti-codon) for a particular amino acid; and 'wobble' base-pairing, i.e. permitting non-standard base-pairing at the 3rd anti-codon position.
Source: RNAcentral
GGAGAAUUGGCAGAGUGGUCGAUUGCGGUAGUCUUGAAAACUAUUGUACCGAGAGGUACCGGGGGUUCGAAUCCCUCAUUCUCCG